This 253-nucleotide ribosomal RNA is filed under the name uncultured bacterium. RNAcentral's name for it is "partial 16S ribosomal RNA". It matches the Rfam family "Bacterial small subunit ribosomal RNA", at positions 524 to 776 of the family's 1533-position model. The record is from RNAcentral.
CCCGUACCGGACGAACGUUAUUCGGAAUUACUGGGCUUAAAGAGUACGUAGGCGGCCUUGUAGGUGAGGUGUGAAAUCCCACGGCUUAACCGUGGAAUGGCGCUUCAAACCACAAGGCUUGAGGGAGACAGGGGUGAGCGGAACAGAUGGUGGAGCGGUGAAAUGCGUUGAUAUCAUCUGGAACACCGGUGGCGAAGGCGGCUCACUGGGUCUCUUCUGACGCUGAGGUACGAAAGCUAGGGUAGAGAACGGG